This 253-nucleotide ribosomal RNA is filed under the name uncultured bacterium. Its description in RNAcentral is "partial 16S ribosomal RNA". It matches the Rfam family "Bacterial small subunit ribosomal RNA", at positions 524 to 776 of the family's 1533-position model. The record is from RNAcentral.
UACGAAGGGGGCUAGCGUUGCUCGGAAUCACUGGGCGUAAAGGGUGCGUAGGCGGGUCUUUAAGUCAGGGGUGAAAUCCUGGAGCUCAACUCCAGAAUUGCCUUCGAUACUGGCUUUCUAGAGGCUGGAAGAGGUUAGUGGAAUUCCCAGUGUAGAGGUGAAAUUCGUAGAUAUUGGGAAGAACACCAGUGGCGAAGGCGGCUAACUGGUCCAGAUCUGACGCUGAGGUGCGAAAGCGUGGGGAGCAAACAGG